RNAcentral lists this ribosomal RNA (465 nucleotides) under Vreelandella stevensii. Its description in RNAcentral is "partial 16S ribosomal RNA". It matches the Rfam family "Bacterial small subunit ribosomal RNA", at positions 338 to 795 of the family's 1533-position model. The record is from RNAcentral. Lineage: Bacteria; Pseudomonadati; Pseudomonadota; Gammaproteobacteria; Oceanospirillales; Halomonadaceae.
CCUACGGGAGGCUGCAGUGGGGAAUAUUGGACAAUGGGGGCAACCCUGAUCCAGCCAUGCCGCGGGUGUGAAGAAGGCCCUCGGGUUGUAAAGCACUUUCAGUGAGGAAGAACGCCUGGUGGUUAAUACCCAUCAGGAAAGACAUCACUCACAGAAGAAGCACCGGCUAACUCCGUGCCAGCAGCCGCGGUAAUACGGAGGGUGCGAGCGUUAAUCGGAAUUACUGGGCGUAAAGCGCGCGUAGGUGGCGUGAUAAGCCGGUUGUGAAAGCCCCGGGCUCAACCUGGGAACGGCAUCCGGAACUGUCAAGCUAGAGUGCAGGAGAGGAAGGUAGAAUUCCCGGUGUAGCGGUGAAAUGCGUAGAGAUCGGGAGGAAUACCAGUGGCGAAGGCGGCCUUCUGGACUGACACUGACACUGAGGUGCGAAAGCGUGGGUAGCAAACAGGAUUAGAUACCCGUGUAGUC